This 471-nucleotide ribosomal RNA is filed under the name uncultured bacterium. Its description in RNAcentral is "partial 16S ribosomal RNA". It matches the Rfam family "Bacterial small subunit ribosomal RNA", at positions 28 to 507 of the family's 1533-position model. The record is from RNAcentral.
GACGAACGCUGGCGGCGUGCUUAACACAUGCAAGUCGAACGAUGCAGCCGUGCUUGUACCGUGGAUUAGUGGCGAACGGGUGAGUAAUACGUGAGUGACCUACCUUUGACCCUGGGAUAAGCCUGGGAAACUGGGUCUAAUACAGGCUACGACCACUCUCUGCACGGGGUGUGGGUGGUAAGCGUUAUGGAGUGGUUUUAGAUGGGCUCACGGCGUAUCAGCUUGUUGGUGAGGUAUUGGCUUACCAAGGCGACGACGGGUAGCCGGCCUGAGAGGGUGACCGGCCACACUGGGACUGAGACACGGCCCAGACUCCUACGGGAGGCAGCAGUGGGGAAUAUUGCACAAUGGGCGCAAGCCUGAUGCAGCGACGCCGCGUGGGGGAUGACGGCCUUCGGGUUGUAAACCUCUGUUAGCAGCGAAGAAGCGAGAGUGACGGUAGGUGGAGAGGAAGCGCCGGCUAACUACGUG